This 868-nucleotide long non-coding RNA is filed under the name Phaseolus vulgaris (common bean). Its description in RNAcentral is "long non-coding RNA (PVUL_LNC005283)". Lineage: Eukaryota; Viridiplantae; Streptophyta; Magnoliopsida; Fabales; Fabaceae. The record is from RNAcentral.
UUUGGUCUCUGGGUGCUCUUGAUAAGACCCGUAAGAAUAUUCUUUCACUAAAACCACUCAAGAAAGGAAGGGAAAAGUGAGAAAAGAAAGAAAGAGAAACGUGUCAAAAUAUAGCAGUUUUGUUUAUUUCACAUGUUAUCAUAAUUCUCAGGAAGAGUUAGUUUCCUUUUCAGAACUCCAUUUAGUGUUAUUUACCUUAAGAGAUGCAUAAAUUUAGUCUCCUACCACUUGAGAAUCGAAUUAUUUACCUUAUUUCACUGAUAUGUCUUUUACCAAUAAUACUGUAAUAAAAUACCAACCUUCAAAAGCAGAUAAUACUUUGAACAUUGUAAUUUUCAACAGUCCCAGUUGAAUGUGGAGCAUGUUUUUCAAGUUCUGUCAAACAUGUCACCAUCUUAACCAAACCAAUUCAUUCUUUUAGAAGUGACUCGUUAUUUAUUAAGCUUUCAUCAGUGGUGAUGAUUUCAUAUUGCAAUUUCAACAUUUCUGAUUUUCCCACUGGUGAUAGGUGCUAAUUGGCUCCAUUUUCUCACCUUCCACUGUAUUGGUAUGGAAACAUCAUUUUGGUAGGAAAUAUUCAAACUCACAUGUCCAAAAGUCUGUAGUUGUUUUCUUGUUCCUGAAAGCAUACACUUGUUCAAAUAUUGAAGAAUCUGGUUGAGUUGUCCUCAUUGCAGAGAGUUAUUAAAAUGUUGGAUUGAUACUUGAACAAGUUGAGUUGAUUAAACUGAUGGCAAUCAACAACAAAAACAAAAGCGUCCCCACAGGAACCAUAAGGAAAUGAAUCUAGAUAGUUCACAAGAGUUGAACAUGUGAUGACUACUUGUCUUCGUGUGGGUUUCUUGUGUCGACACAUGGAAAGCAAUAU